RNAcentral lists this ribosomal RNA (305 nucleotides) under uncultured bacterium. RNAcentral's name for it is "bacterial SSU rRNA". It matches the Rfam family "Bacterial small subunit ribosomal RNA", at positions 335 to 657 of the family's 1533-position model. The record is from RNAcentral.
CACCUACGGGAGGCAGCAGUGGGGGAUAUUGCACAAUGGGGGAAACCCUGAUGCAGCGACGCCGCGUGUGGGAAGACGGUCCUCUGGAUUGUAAACCACUGUCCCCAGGGACGAAGAUGACGGUACCUGGGGAGGAAGCUCCGGCUAACUACGUGCCAGCAGCCGCGGUAAUACGAAGGGGGCAAGCGUUGUUCGGAAUUACUGGGCGUAAAGGGAGUGUAGGCGGUUUAGUAAGAUAGUGGUGAAAUCCCAGAGCUUAACUUUGGAAUUGCCAUUAUAACUAUUAGACUAGAAUUACAGAGAGG